This 449-nucleotide ribosomal RNA is filed under the name uncultured Clostridium sp. Its description in RNAcentral is "bacterial SSU rRNA". It matches the Rfam family "Bacterial small subunit ribosomal RNA", at positions 48 to 524 of the family's 1533-position model. The record is from RNAcentral. Lineage: Bacteria; Bacillati; Bacillota; Clostridia; Eubacteriales; Clostridiaceae.
CUAACACAUGCAAGUCGAGCGAGGUAUUUAUGCCUAGCGGCGGACGGGUGAGUAACACGUGGGUAACCUGCCUCAGAGAGGGGAAUAGCCUUCCGAAAGGAAGAUUAAUACCGCAUAAUAUAUACUUUUAGCAUUAUGAGUAUAUCAAAGGAGAAAUCCGCUUUGAGAUGGGCCCGCGGCGCAUUAGCUAGUUGGAGAGGUAACGGCUCACCAAGGCGACGAUGCGUAGCCGACCUGAGAGGGUGAUCGGCCACAUUGGAACUGAGACACGGUCCAGACUCCUACGGGAGGCAGCAGUGGGGAAUAUUGCACAAUGGGGGAAACCCUGAUGCAGCAACGCCGCGUGAAUGAUGAAGGCCUUCGGGUCGUAAAGUUCUUUGAUUGGGGACGAUAAUGACGGUACCCAAAAAACAAGCCACGGCUAACUACGUGCCAGCAGCCGCGGUAAU